UACGGGGGGAGCAAGCGUUGUUCGGAUUUACUGGGCGUAAAGGGCGCGUAGGCGGUCAGCACAAGUCAGUUGUGAAAUCUCCGGGCUUAACUCGGAAAGGUCAACUGAUACUGUGCGACUAGAGUGCGGAAGGGGCAACUGGAAUUCUCGGUGUAGCGGUGAAAUGCGUAGAUAUCGAGAGGAACACCUGCGGCGAAGGCGGGUUGCUGGGCCGGUACUGACGCUGAGGCGCGAAAGCGUGGGGAGCAAACAGG
Molecule: ribosomal RNA, 254 nt
Filed under: uncultured bacterium
Lineage: Bacteria
Description: partial 16S ribosomal RNA
Rfam family: Bacterial small subunit ribosomal RNA
Source: RNAcentral